RNAcentral lists this unclassified non-coding RNA (232 nucleotides) under Hevea brasiliensis (rubber tree). The record is from RNAcentral. Lineage: Eukaryota; Viridiplantae; Streptophyta; Magnoliopsida; Malpighiales; Euphorbiaceae.
GUGCCUCAGUUCGUUCCCAGACAACUCACCCAUAUUAGAACCGGGAUUCAACUGAGUCAAUUCAGGCUGAGUUGAAAUUGGUUUCACAGGGAAGAGGAAAACCCGGAUGCGAGAGGGGGAGAGGCGGUGGUGCUCAUCAAGCAUAAUAAGGAGGUCCUCGUCUGUGGAAAGGGAGAUAAGCGAGUCAAGGUCGUGAUUGGGAAGCUGGUACUUUAGAGUAAAAGGGUUGCUG